CCGAGUUUACAACUCCCAAACCCCUGUGAACAUACCUAAUUGUUGCCUCGGCGGAUCAGCCCGGCGCCUCGGUGACACGGAUCAGGCGCCCGCCAUAGGAACCCUAACUCUGUUUCUAUAUGGAAUCUUCUGAGUAGUACCAUAAUAAAUCA
RNAcentral lists this unclassified non-coding RNA (152 nucleotides) under soil metagenome. Its description in RNAcentral is "partial internal transcribed spacer 1". The record is from RNAcentral.